UGUAAGCGUAUACCAAAGUUGUUGCAGUUAAAACGCUCGUAGUCGGAAUUUGGCAGUUCCGGAAGUGUGCACGUCGUGUGCGCACUUUGCGGGGACUGCUUUUGUGGUCUUGCGUAGGAUGAGGCACUUUCAUUAGUGAACGUCCUCACGCAACCACUCUUUACUGUGAGAAAAUCAGAGUGCCCAAAGCAGGCAUUUGCCGUGAAUGUAUUAGCAUGGAAUAAUAGAAUAGGACUCGGUUCUAUUUUGUUGGUUUGUUGGGACUGAGUAAUGAUUAAGAGGGACAGUUGGGGGCAUUUGUAUUCCGGCGCUAGAGGUGAAAUUCUUAGAUUGCCGGAAGACAAACUGCUGCGAAAGCGUCUGCCAAGGAUGUUUUCAUUGA
RNAcentral lists this ribosomal RNA (382 nucleotides) under uncultured eukaryote. Its description in RNAcentral is "partial 18S ribosomal RNA". It matches the Rfam family "Eukaryotic small subunit ribosomal RNA", at positions 592 to 976 of the family's 1831-position model. The record is from RNAcentral.